Non-coding RNA from Podospora fimiseda, 107 nucleotides. NCBI's taxonomy places the organism in Eukaryota, Fungi, Ascomycota, Sordariomycetes, Sordariales, Podosporaceae. The record is from the annotation of a GenBank genome assembly.
GGUCCGCUGGCGUAAUGGCAGCGCGUCUGACUACGAUAAUUAUGAGUGCAUCGGACAUGAUUAAUACGGUAAUCAGGAGGUUCCAGGUUCGACCCCUGGGCGGAUCG